AUUUGGCUCUGAAAUCUUGCUGU
This 23-nucleotide microRNA is filed under the name Panagrellus redivivus. RNAcentral describes it as "prd-miR-7918a-5p". Lineage: Eukaryota; Metazoa; Nematoda; Chromadorea; Rhabditida; Panagrolaimidae. The record is from miRBase by way of RNAcentral.